AUCGUGCGGAGCAAGCAUCACACCAUGGCGUAUGAGUGUUCCUCUGUGUAGACUCAACCUGCGCCUCGCCGUCCCCCAUUCGCACACCCGAUGCCCGGGGGUCGCUACGGACUUAAAAUCUCCGCACCGCACCCUCCACCUCAGGAUUCCACGGGAGAUGAGUGAAUAAACGACUGAACAUUGUGCAUAAACAGACAAUUUAUAUAUUCAUAAGAUUAAGACAUUUUGUAUUCCUCAUCCGUUAUGCAAAGCAAAGACUAGACACUCUGGAGUCAUCUCUCAUGAGAACAAACCUGCGGACAGCUGGGAAGCACACCAGCCACCAACUGGGAGUAUUAAAAAGAGCAAUCCAGUCUCCAAAUCAAGGGGAGGGUUCAAAUCAUAGACAAGCUGCAGAGCCACCGGGUCUCAGAGUUUCCCGCGGAAACGCUGGGACUCGCUACCAAUCCCAUGAGCGCACCUGGGGAUUUUAACGUCUGGUGGGAUGGUGGAUUCCGAGUGUGGUUGGACAGGGCUGGAGUGCCCUGAAAGGCCUGAAUGCUCUCCUGCCG
Molecule: long non-coding RNA, 551 nt
Filed under: Homo sapiens (human)
Lineage: Eukaryota; Metazoa; Chordata; Mammalia; Primates; Hominidae
Description: non-protein coding lnc-ZNF415-4:5
Source: RNAcentral